This is a long non-coding RNA of Alosa sapidissima (American shad), 770 nucleotides long. RefSeq lists it as uncharacterized. The transcript has 3 exons. NCBI's taxonomy places the organism in Eukaryota, Metazoa, Chordata, Actinopteri, Clupeiformes, Clupeidae. The record is from RefSeq and is a predicted model, not a curated record.
GAGAAUUCAGCAAGACGCUUCUGAAUGGUGCACAUGUGGAAAUUGUGCAACAAUGCCGUCAGAGCCUGAGAACUUAUGCUGCCAGGAGGUACCACAGGUUACAAGACGGCUGCAGCAGCUGGAUGAAAGGCCUCCAUGUAUGAUAGGCAAACAGGUUCUAAACCUGGACGGUCUAAAUGUGUUCUCACUGCAGAAUGCAUGCAACAUUUACAGGGCUGACUAUGGUCCUUUAAAGUUAUGGGGAAUAGAGCAGUGAGUUAUCUGUAAUAACCUACUUACAUUCACUGUUCAUACAACAUAAUAAAGCAAAUAUAGUCUGCCAAAGCCUCUUUCAGAUUUUUUUCUUGAACUUAUAGCCAAGUAUUUCCUUAGCAAACUGUAUAUUACACAAAUUCACAUGAAGCAUUUUACACAUGCAAUAAACAUUUAUUUACCACUGUCAUUGUACAUAAAAAUACAGUAUUGAAUGAUUCACUGAUUCCAAAUUAGACAUAUAUUAUAAAACCUGUUGACUAGCAAUGUUCAUUUUUCUCAGUUGUUACAGGUAUUAAGCCUACAGAAGUUUUGUGAGCUGGUGCUGGGGCUUCCUUGGUAGAAAGAUACGGGUAGUGAUCCCCUCAUGUGUCGUGACGGGAGUUUCCUGACACCCAUGGAAGAUAUGUAGGCUUCAAACUCCCGCCCCUUGAUUGAAUCUUGAGACAUACAGUGGGUCCCCGUUAAGUUUGGACGGGUUCCUUCAGGAAUCACGCACCCCAUUUUCUCAGCAGAAA